Pseudophryne corroboree (corroboree frog) is the source of this 462-nucleotide long non-coding RNA. RefSeq lists it as uncharacterized. The record is from RefSeq and is a predicted model, not a curated record. The transcript is spliced from 5 exons. NCBI's taxonomy places the organism in Eukaryota, Metazoa, Chordata, Amphibia, Anura, Myobatrachidae.
UGUUCUAUAUGUGUCAUCUACCCUGUGGACAGAAAUAGCCGUUACUUCCAGACUGUGUAUACUCAGGGAGGAUUCUCUCUGACAGAUCGUCACAACGGUGUGGUCAGCUGCCGGCAGGGGCGUAACUAGAAGUUUGUGGGCUUCAUAGCAAAAUUGACACCGCUCUCCUCAGCAGAAUUGGAAGUCAGUGCUUUCACUGUGCUCAUGUGAUCUGGAAAAGCCUACAUCUGUAUCUAGUAAUAUGAAAGUAUUAGUGGUCCUGAAAGCCCAGAUCUGCCGACACGCGCAUACAAGUACGUACAAUUGGAGAGACGGUUCCGACAAAGUGGUGGCAUAGAUAUAUCCGCUCCCCCCUCCCGGGACACUGUCAGGUCUGGUAUAGGAACUGCGCUGACAUUCUGCAAUCCAACUGAGUCUAGAUGCUUUGAUACGGAUACUGCCCAAAGCUGAUUAGGACUGAUC